AUGCAAGCCCCAGCUGGUCAGAACUGCUCAGGCUCCAGUUAUCACAGUCUUGCAGUUCUAGAGCCAUGCCUGUCUAAUAGGCACAGAUUCUUCUGUGUCCUGGUCCCAUCUCGUCUGAUGACAGCAACAGAUGUGCCACGUGGAUCAGACAUGGGCUGCUCGUUGUGCAGGGAGGAGCAGGGAGACAAUGCCCAUCACCUGAAAUGCAGAGUGGGAGGGCUGCAGGGUGCUGAGCAUUUCCUAUCCCUUGCAUGUUUUCUCUUAGAUGUGAUGUCUGAUGUGAUCGAUUCAGCUCUUCCUCUACAGAUUAGUAUAAAGAAACACAAAAAUCUUCUCUGAGUACCUUGAUAACACCUCCUCAGCUGCUUCAUCAUUACCUAUUGUGAGGCAUUUCCAAAAAAAGAGCAUUUCACUGCGUGGGUCAGGAAUAAGUCCUGUGGUACGGACAAAAGGUGCUGAUGCUCCAUUACACAGACUUGUGCUAGCCGAGGAGCACGCCUGUCUGCACCUCAGGUGUCUUCCAGCAGCUCAGCACCUGCCCAGGUGAAAAAGAGCAAGAAUGAUGGGGCAGGCUCGCUCCCGCUGCCAUCACUCAGAGCAAAGUUCCCCGCUGUGGUGCUGAGAGCCUCAGAGAAAAAAAGCCCUCUCUGCUGAAGCUGUAAUUACGCAAAUCCCUCAGACGAGUUUGUGUCAAAACCAUUGGUCAAGAAACAGUAUUAAUGAGACCUAAUCCACACUUCGGAGGCACCAGAACAUAACACUGCGGCUCAGGGGGUUUAAGGCAGCAGAGUGCACGGCUCAGCAAGGCUUCCUUAAUUUUAUCCCUGCGAUUUGGAGGCUUGUAUCUGCGGAGAAAAAGAAGAGGGAAGAAAACAAAGAAAAAAAACUCAGCAGCUUUAUGAAUUUAACCCUUCCAGAUGUGGCUGGCACACUGAGCUGGCUGGGAGGUUACAAACUGCUGUGGCUGAGCCUAGCCAAAUGCAAGUGCUCUCUGGAAGUUGGUGCCUUUGCAAAGAAUUGUUGAACUAUCACUGAGGUGCUAAACAGGCUAACUGCAAACACAUCUAUUUGCUUCUCCCGGAGCAGGCAGACACCUGGAAACUGCACUGGCGAAGGACUAAAUAAAUUACCUGGGUUAUUUACUGCA
This 1147-nucleotide long non-coding RNA is filed under the name Numida meleagris (helmeted guineafowl). RNAcentral describes it as "lncRNA (ENSNMEG00000017897.1)". The record is from RNAcentral. Lineage: Eukaryota; Metazoa; Chordata; Aves; Galliformes; Numididae.